Molecule: long non-coding RNA, 1329 nt
Filed under: Olea europaea (common olive)
Lineage: Eukaryota; Viridiplantae; Streptophyta; Magnoliopsida; Lamiales; Oleaceae
Description: long non-coding RNA (OEUR_LNC000155)
Source: RNAcentral
UCAAAUCAUUGUCUUACAAUCCGACUCAACUUUUGAAUGAUUGCAUUUUAGUACUCAAACUUUGGAUUUGUUUCAUUUUAGCACUCUAUGUUCUUUCUUCCAAUUCUUCUUUGAAACAAGAAUUUUUCUUAAUGAAAACAAUAAAUAACAAAUUAGGUACUAAUCCGUCCAAAACAUAACAAAAUAGCAUCAUUUAGGUUUCCAAAUAAGUGUAGAAACUACACUAAUCAUUUGGUCUUUACCACAAACCUUGAUUGACAUCAUACAUAGGAAGCCUAAAUAACAAGGUCAGAGCUCAAACAAAGUAGUUUAUCGAGUAAAUUCUAUUCACGAUAAUCUUUACUUUAGUAUCAAUCAGGAAAAUGUCUCAAUUUCGUUUAAUUGAGGAUUUAAUACGAUUUCAAUCAGGUAAAUACACUUUAAUUUCAUUACAAGACAUCUUUGUCCAAGUCCAAUUAUGAGUGUUGAUAACGUGACAUUCCCUUAAUGGUCACCACAUGUGUCGUUAGUUGCUGACGUAAAAUUUAUACAACUUCAAUGAAAUAAGUGACGAGCUUCCUAUAUCAACUAUCAGUUCAUCGAUUCUUAUAGAAUUACACGUAGUUAUCCAAUUAGAAUUAAAUUAAAAUAUGGCUAUUCGAUUGAAUAUAAUUGAAGUGCGAUUAUUCGAUUGAGAAUAAAAUCUACGUUGUUAAGUUUGCAAGUCCGUGUUUCUUUUGGAAAUUCCAACUUCCAAAAUUCUGAAAAUUAACCUAACACGCAUAAUGAAAUCUUAACAUCAACGAGGUUGAAAGUGUGGAGCAAAUUUUACAUAAUGAGUUACAUAAUAUUAUAUGUCAUUCUAUUAUUUGUCAGUUUAAAAUAUAAUUAACGUUUUCAUCAAAUCUUUUCAUCUACAUCACUUUAUGUAAUUUUUUGUGCGCAAAUAGCGUAAUCAUAUAUCCACAAACUUGCCAAAUCAGAAUUAAUCCUAUUUUAGUUUUUACACUACAAACCUCGGACCUCCACGUGGAAUAUGCAAAAAUGAAAAAUAAAAAAAAUUCUCAAAUUCCCUCUGAAAUUGGUUCCAGAGAAGGUGUCCAUGGUCUUAACCGUUGAUUGGGAAUCGGUGCAACAAUUGUAAGUAUUAUGCCCUAGGUCCAAUCGACUUUGGACAUAAAUACUUUUAUAUAUAAUUAAUGUAAUUAAAUGGCAGAUCUAUUAUUUAAUUAAUAGACAAUUAAAUAAAUAAUAGAGUCCGUAGAUUCAAAUAUUUGUAAUUUAUUAAUCACAAGGAGUUGUGAUUGUGAGAUACAAAUUACAUCUGAUUGAAUCUUAAAUCAUCCGUGG